This 871-nucleotide ribosomal RNA is filed under the name uncultured bacterium. Its description in RNAcentral is "bacterial SSU rRNA". It matches the Rfam family "Bacterial small subunit ribosomal RNA", at positions 602 to 1472 of the family's 1533-position model. The record is from RNAcentral.
CAUUGGCUCAACCAANGUAUGCUUUGGAAACUGUUAGACUUGAGUGCAGAAGGGGAGAGUGGAAUUCCAUGUGUAGCGGUGAAAUGCGUAGAUAUAUGGAGGAACACCGGUGGCGAAAGCGGCUCUCUGGUCUGUCACUGACGCUGAGGCUCGAAAGCGUGGGUAGCGAACAGGAUUAGAUACCCUGGUAGUNCACGCCGUAAACGCUGAGUGCUAGGUGUUAGGUCCUUUCCGGGACUUAGUGCCGACGCUAACGCAUUAAGCACUCCGCCUGGGGAGUACGACCGCAAGGUUGAAACUCAGAGGAAUUGACGGGGGCCCGCACAAGCGGUGGAGCAUGUGGUUUAAUUCGAAGCAACGCGAAGAACCUUACCAGGUCUUGACAUCCCGAUGCCCGCUCUAGAGAUAGAGUUUUUCUUCGGAACAUCGGAGACAGGUGGUGCAUGGUUGUCGUCAGCUCGUGUCGUGAGAUGUUGGGUUAAGUCCCGCAACGAGCGCAACCCUUAUUGUUAGUUGCCAUCAUUAAGUUGGGCACUCUAGCGAGACUGCCGGUAAUAAACCGGAGGAAGGUGGGGAUGACGUCAAAUCAUCAUGCCCCUUAUGACCUGGGCUACACACGUGCUACAAUGGUUGGUACAACGAGUCGCAAGCCGGUGACGGCAAGCUAAUCUCUGAAAGCCAAUCUCAGUUCGGAUUGUAGGCUGCAACUCGCCUACAUGAAGUCGGAAUCGCUAGUAAUCGCGGAUCAGCACGCCGCGGUGAAUACGUUCCCGGGCCUUGUACACACCGCCCGUCACACCACGAGAGUUUGUAACACCCAAAGUCGGUGAGGUAACCAUUUAUGGGGCCAGCCGCCUAAGGUGGGANGGAU